Sarcophilus harrisii (Tasmanian devil) is the source of this 370-nucleotide long non-coding RNA. RefSeq lists it as uncharacterized. NCBI's taxonomy places the organism in Eukaryota, Metazoa, Chordata, Mammalia, Dasyuromorphia, Dasyuridae. The record is from RefSeq and is a predicted model, not a curated record. The transcript has 2 exons.
AGAAGGGAGUGAUUGAGAGUCCUGGGAAAGACAGGCCCUAGGAUGGUGAUCAGUGUACCACCGUAACCUCCCUCCGAGUGUACCUCACUGAGCAAUGGUUCUUGCGGAAUGCCUGGACACAGCGGCUUGCAAGCACAAGUCUUAUUCUAUGCAAUCACAUCCUGCACUACCACUGAACUCCUUCCAAACUCCUGAGGACAACAUAUGCCAAUAUUCAUCCUGGGAAAAAAGGGAGCAUUAUUUUUUUUUGGUGAGUUUCUAUUGUAAUAUAAUAAUCGCAUAAUACAAAAAAAAAAAACAUGCUCUUGAAGAAGAUUGAUGAGCAGUGAGGUUUCAUCUCUACCAAGAGUGUGUUUACAGUUAUAAAAAA